RNAcentral lists this ribosomal RNA (624 nucleotides) under uncultured bacterium. RNAcentral's name for it is "bacterial SSU rRNA". It matches the Rfam family "Bacterial small subunit ribosomal RNA", at positions 117 to 757 of the family's 1533-position model. The record is from RNAcentral.
GUGAGGAACCUGCCUUGAAGAGGGGGACAACAGUUGGAAACGACUGCUAAUACCGCAUGACGCAUAGGGGUCGCAUGAUCUUUAUGCCAAAGAUUUAUCGCUUCAAGAUGGCCUCGCGUCUGAUUAGCUGGUUGGCGGGGUAACGGCCCACCAAGGCGACGAUCAGUAGCCGGACUGAGAGGUUGAACGGCCACAUUGGGACUGAGAUACGGCCCAGACUCCUACGGGAGGCAGUAGUGGGGAAUAUUGGGCAAUGGGCGCAAGCCUGACCCAGCAACGCCGCGUGAAGGAAGAAGGCUUUCGGGUUGUAAACUUCUUUUAAGAGGGAAGAGGAGAAGACGGUACCUCUAGAAUAAGCCACGGCUAACUACGUGCCAGCAGCCGCGGUAAUACGUAGGUGGCAAGCGUUGUCCGGAUUUACUGGGUGUAAAGGGCGUGCAGCCGGGUCUGCAAGUCAGAUGUGAAAUCCAUGGGCUCAACCCAUGAACUGCAUUUGAAACUGUAGAUCUUGAGUGUCGGAGGGGCAAUCGGAAUUCCUAGUGUAGCGGUGAAAUGCGUAGAUAUUAGGAGGAACACCAGUGGCGAAGGCGGAUUGCUGGACGAUAACUGACGGUGAGGCGCGAA